GAUUUUUACAAAAAAAACGUUAUAUAAUAUCGCUGUCAAGUAAUUGACUGCAACACCAGAGGCUGUAUGAAAUAGGCGCAUUGGACCCGAGGGCAGUGCUCGGCACCUCCACCAAUUUUUAUGGGGGUGAAACAGGUUCGACAGUGUUCAGUAAAGAUAUAUGCUGUGUUCGGCAAGAUACCACCGUUAUCGGUUCAAAAUAAAUGAAUGCAAAUGAUAAUUUUGCACCAGUUGCAGUAGCUGCAUAAUUUAGGCAAAUGCAACAAAAUUCAAUUCUUUGAGCAUUGGUUUGCCCAAAGUGGGGAAGGAGCCGCCCAGCAACAGAACGGCU
RNAcentral lists this transfer-messenger RNA (331 nucleotides) under bovine gut metagenome. RNAcentral's name for it is "Alphaproteobacteria transfer-messenger RNA". It matches the Rfam family "Alphaproteobacteria transfer-messenger RNA". From Rfam's summary of the family: Bacterial tmRNA, also known as 10Sa RNA or SsrA, is named for its dual tRNA and mRNA-like properties. Its role is to liberate the mRNA from a stalled ribosome. RNAcentral also lists the same sequence under 1 other name. The record is from RNAcentral.